This is a long non-coding RNA of Ceratosolen solmsi marchali, 161 nucleotides long. RefSeq lists it as uncharacterized. The record is from RefSeq and is a predicted model, not a curated record. The transcript has 2 exons. Lineage: Eukaryota; Metazoa; Arthropoda; Insecta; Hymenoptera; Agaonidae.
CUUUUUAUAUUAUUUAUAGAUGGAAAAUAUGGAUGAAAUAAUAAGGAUUCAAAAGGAUUCUAUCUCAAUAUCACAAUCAGAAGUCGAAAAUUUGCAGAAAACAUCGCAAGAAAAGAUUAAUCUGCAAGAGAAAACAAUUUUCCAGCACGAGCAAGAAAAAA